GUGAAAGGCUGACACUCAGCUGCUGACUCGUUGGUUCAAGAGCUCAUCAAUGGAAAAUGUAGAAUCAUGAUGUGUUUCUGAUCCAACGAAGCAGGAGCUGCGUUUAGUCAUG
RNAcentral lists this microRNA precursor (112 nucleotides) under Citrus sinensis (sweet orange). RNAcentral's name for it is "miR156j stem-loop (csi-MIR156j)". Its record names the gene csi-MIR156j. The record is from miRBase by way of RNAcentral. Lineage: Eukaryota; Viridiplantae; Streptophyta; Magnoliopsida; Sapindales; Rutaceae.